RNAcentral lists this non-coding RNA (157 nucleotides) under Paenibacillus sp. RNAcentral describes it as "FMN sequence". It matches the Rfam family "FMN riboswitch aptamer (RFN element)". Rfam says of the family: The RFN element is a highly conserved domain that is found frequently in the 5'-untranslated regions of prokaryotic mRNAs that encode for flavin mononucleotide (FMN) biosynthesis and transport proteins. This element is a metabolite-dependent riboswitch that directly binds FMN in the absence of proteins. The record is from RNAcentral. RNAcentral also lists the same sequence under 1 other name. Lineage: Bacteria; Bacillati; Bacillota; Bacilli; Caryophanales; Paenibacillaceae.
AGAGAUCUUCGGGGUAGGGUGAAAUUCCCGACCGGCGGUGAGGUUUCGGCAAGAGGGAACCGCAGCCCGCGACUCGCAGAUGGCCUUCACGGCCCGAAGCGACUGACUUGGUGAGAAUCCAAGGCCGACGGUAAAGUCCGGAUGGGAGGAGAUCAAU